This 472-nucleotide ribosomal RNA is filed under the name uncultured bacterium. RNAcentral describes it as "bacterial SSU rRNA". It matches the Rfam family "Bacterial small subunit ribosomal RNA", at positions 329 to 793 of the family's 1533-position model. The record is from RNAcentral.
GCAGAGCAUCCUACGGGAGGCAGCAGUGGGGAAUAUUGCACAAUGGGCGCAAGCCUGAUGCAGCCAUGCCGCGUGUAUGAAGAAGGCCUUCGGGUUGUAAAGUACUUUCAGCAGUGAGGAAGGUGGAUAUGUUAAUAGCAUAUUCAUUUGACGUUAGCUGCAGAAGAAGCACCGGCUAACUCCGUGCCAGCAGCCGCGGUAAUACGGAGGGUGCGAGCGUUAAUCGGAAUUACUGGGCGUAAAGCGCAUGCAGGUGGUUUGUUAAGUCAGAUGUGAAAGCCCGGGGCUCAACCUCGGAAUUGCAUUUGAAAACUGGCAAACUAGAGUACUGUAGAGGGGGUAGAAUUUCAGGUGUAGCGGUGAAAUGCGUAGAGAUCUGAAGGAAUACCGGUGGCGAAGGCGGCCCCCUGGACAGAUACUGACACUCAGAUGCGAAAGCGUGGGGAGCAAACAGGAUUAGAUACCCUGGUAG